AUGAACCUCAUGAGAACACCAAGACGCACCACGACGCAAGCGGAAACAGACAUCAGGGAUAAUGCUGACAGAUUAACAAAAUCUAAAGGAGGAAGAAUGGAGAUCCAUUUUGAGGCAGGUUUAAAAAGGCCACGUGAUGCUACACAGUCAGCCAAGUUAGUAUCAGAGGCAGCCAUUGCCGUUAGGUGUCAUGCACGUAUCCUCCCAACAUGGAUCCAGUACAGGAAUGAGAAAGACAAUACCCAGUUUAACACCUUCCUUGACCAUUUAUCCGUAAGUAAUGUUAUUCAUCGCAAUUAG
This 300-nucleotide ribosomal RNA is filed under the name Triticum aestivum (bread wheat). Its description in RNAcentral is "partial small subunit ribosomal RNA". The record is from RNAcentral. Lineage: Eukaryota; Viridiplantae; Streptophyta; Magnoliopsida; Poales; Poaceae.